Molecule: long non-coding RNA, 553 nt
Filed under: Ananas comosus (pineapple)
Lineage: Eukaryota; Viridiplantae; Streptophyta; Magnoliopsida; Poales; Bromeliaceae
Description: long non-coding RNA (ACOM_LNC004302)
Source: RNAcentral
AAAAAAUAAAUUUUCUAAAAAUAAUUUUAUAAAAUAGUUUGACAAAUUUUGUGAAGUAAUUUAAAGUUUAAAUAUAAAAUAUAAAAUAUAAAUUCUAAAUUUUAAUUUUAAAACUUUAAAUUUUAAAUCUUAUAUUUUAAAUUUUAAAUUCUAAAGUUUGAGUUUUAAAAUUCAAUUCAAAAUUUUAAUUUGAAAUCUAGAAUUUAGAUUUUUGAAAUUUAAUAUUUAAAAUUUGAAAUGUAAAAAUAUAAAAUUUAAAAUUAAUGAUAUAAAAUUUGAAAAUUGAAAUUACAACAUUAAAAGUGUUGAAAUGUAAAAUUUAAAAUAUAAAUAUAAAAUUUAAAUUUAAUUAAAUAUUUAAAAUUUGAAAUUAAAAAUUUAUGAGUUGAAAUUUAAAAUUUAAAAUUUGAAGUUUGAAAUUUAAAAUAUAAAAUAUAACUUUAGAAUUAUAUAACAUUUAAAAUUUAAUAUGUAAAAUCUUCAAUUUAACAAUCUAAAAUUUAAAAUUUAAUUUAAAUUUACAUUUUAAAUCUAAAAUAAAUUUUAAAUUUUA